AAAGCCGACGCGAGUCUGGAGGCUGCUGCUCGCGACUUCGGCGGCCGGGCGAGGCCGGUGAGGACGCGGCGGGCGAGCGAGAGGCCGAGGUGUUUUCUUCACUCAUGGUGAAGAAUGGGGGAGAUAGAAGGAACAUACAGAGUCCUGCAGACUGCAGGGACGCGCUUGGGUGCCCAGACCCCUGUGGGAGUUAGCACCCUUGAGCCUGGGCAGGCUCUCUUGCCCAGAAUGCAAGAGAAGCACCUGCACCUCAGAGUAAAGCUGCUGGACCACACCUUGGAAAUAUUUGACAUUGAGGUUUGAAAAAUAACAGGUCAACCUCUUCCCAGAUUUCUUGACAUCCUUGGAAACCAUGCAUUUACGCCAUUGCAGAGCAGCUCAAGAAUGGCCCAGAACCCUAUGGUCACCUGGCUGGUUUGCAGAGCCUUUCUUUGUGGCCUGCAUUGCACCUCACACACUGCCUGCUACUUCUGGUCAUGUUGAAUUGCCCACCUUUUAAUAACUUAUGUCAGGUUGGACUUCAGUAUUUAUGGUCAUAACGGAAAUGUUUCUUCCAGUUAUGAAGUGAUUUGUUUUUUCAUUAAUAGACAUCUGAGUGCCUACUAUGUGGGGGGAAAAAGGGCUCUCCUGACAGUUGUUUUUUUGUUGUUGUUUGUUUGUUUGUUUACCAAUAAUUUGAGUUGAAGUAUCGGGAACUACCUGGGAUUCUGUCCUCAGGGAUAAUUCUUUCUGUUGAAAGUCUCCAAGAGUAUGGUGAUCUAAUUAUUGAUCACAGUUCAUAAUAUGGUUUCUGCCCUCCUGAAACAUACGGCCUACAAAUUAUCUUUUU
This 829-nucleotide small RNA is filed under the name Pongo abelii (Sumatran orangutan). RNAcentral describes it as "processed transcript". The record is from RNAcentral. Lineage: Eukaryota; Metazoa; Chordata; Mammalia; Primates; Hominidae.